AGCAGAAAGCAAAGGUGCUCCCUCUAAGGAAAGCAAAGCUGCUUUCUCCAAGGUGAACUUCAUCGAUGAUCACUGGAUAGAAUUGAUAGACCGAGUUAAUAAUGUGGACCCCGUCCUAGA
This is a long non-coding RNA of Danio aesculapii, 120 nucleotides long. RefSeq lists it as uncharacterized. NCBI's taxonomy places the organism in Eukaryota, Metazoa, Chordata, Actinopteri, Cypriniformes, Danionidae. The record is from RefSeq and is a predicted model, not a curated record. The transcript is spliced from 3 exons.